CCUACGGGUGGCAGCAGUGGUGAAUAUUGCACAAUGGGGGGAACCCUGAUGCAGCGACGCCGCGUGGGUGAAGGAGUACUUCGGUACGUAAAGCCCUAUCAGCAGGAAAGAAAAUGACGGUACCUGACUAAGAAGCCCCGGCUAACUACGUGCCAGCAGCCGCGGUAAUACGUAGGGGGCAAGCGUUAUCCGGAUUUAGUGGGUUUAAAGGGUGCGCAGGCGGCCUGUUAUGUCAGCGGUAAAAGCCCGGGGCUCAACCCCGGCGAGCCGUUGAAACUGGCGGGCUGGAGUUGGAGAGAAGUACGCGGAAUGCGCGGUGUAGCGGUGAAAUGCUUAGAUAUCGCGCAGAACCCCGAUUGCGAAGGCAGCGUACCGGCUCCACACUGACGCUGAGGCACGAAAGCGUGGGUAUCGAACAGGAUUAGAUACCCCAGUAGUC
RNAcentral lists this ribosomal RNA (439 nucleotides) under uncultured bacterium. Its description in RNAcentral is "partial 16S ribosomal RNA". It matches the Rfam family "Bacterial small subunit ribosomal RNA", at positions 338 to 795 of the family's 1533-position model. The record is from RNAcentral.